CAGAAACAUACCGCUAUGCCACAAAAUGCUGGCAAGUAAGGGUGAAAUCGGGAGGUAAGAGCUCCCGGCCGGUCGUGGUAACACGGCGGCGGGCAAGCCCCACCCGGAGCAAGACCAAGCAGGGGCUUAGAGUGCUCGGCUCGUCCCCGGGUUGGUUGCACGAGAUCGUGAGUAAUUGCGGUCCUAGAUGGAUGGCCACCCUCCUUGGAAAAUUCCAAGGAGACAGAACUCGGCUUACAGAUUCGCCGGCCCC
This 253-nucleotide RNase P RNA is filed under the name SAR202 cluster bacterium. Its description in RNAcentral is "partial RNase P RNA component class A". It matches the Rfam family "Bacterial RNase P class A", at positions 115 to 367 of the family's 367-position model. Rfam says of the family: Ribonuclease P (RNase P) is a ubiquitous endoribonuclease, found in archaea, bacteria and eukarya as well as chloroplasts and mitochondria. Its best characterised activity is the generation of mature 5'-ends of tRNAs by cleaving the 5'-leader elements of precursor-tRNAs. Cellular RNase Ps are ribonucleoproteins. Lineage: Bacteria; Bacillati; Chloroflexota; Dehalococcoidia. The record is from RNAcentral.